UUUACAGUACCUGCUGAUUUGUCUAACAUGACUACCUAUACCUAAUCACUUACACGUAGUCUUAUCCGUUUUCAUGUAAAGCCUGCGAACGUGAAGAGAUAAGUUUGCAAAUGGGGAAGUAGUUCUGUACAUAUAGAUCUGGCGAAAAUGCAGCGCCGCCUGUGUUGCUAAAAAUAAACAGGGAAGUCAGAAAAACACCACGAGCAAAAUCUACCAUGUAGAAUUAGAAGCUCGAAGAAUUUCAUCUCGUCCUUGUUCCCGGCCAAGACGCACGCAAUUCUUGUUGAGUCACAAGUCGUAUAACGUCUUUGUACAUGUCCGUCAAGAAGACGCAACAGGCUUCUACUGUGUGUAAACGGAUAGAAGUAGAGUACCGGACGCAAUCCGGGUUGAAUCGUCGGUGGUGGAACGCAGCUUAAUGCUAUAAAUAACCGCUAGCUUCAGGGGAGGUGUCAAGUGGAGUAACAAGUAGAUAGACCUGUUCACUGUCAACACACACCAAACUGGGACCACUGAAAGCAAGAGUUCUCUUGAUCCCGUAGGCUAAACAACGACUGAAGAUGGGUGGCUUUUGAGCACAAUGGGUUUGCCAGUGGAAUGAUAAAAAGUUGAAGAAAAAGUUGCAGUCAUGGUAACCGCUCAUUUCGCAUUUGGAAAGGUGUUAGGUAGCCCCUAGCGCAUUCCACUUCUCUGCAGAAUAUCCGUUAAGUAACAACCUUGAAAAGUUCGCUGGCAGGAAAAAGAAAAGAAACUAUUGGUAGCUUCAGGUUUCAAGCUCAGUAAAAUAAGUUGAAAUAAGGCGGGGAUCUCUACGAUUUGUGCAUUUUCGUGAAAAAACAUGUGCCUUUUAUACCUUUGGUAACUUAACCCGAUUUAUAAAAAUCUGGAAAACAGAUAAAGUUUUAAUAAUAUUGUUUCUUUCUUUGGUUUAAAAUGCUUGAGAGUUCGCCCAAACAGCAUAGCAGACGUGACACAAAGUCACUUUCAACCACAACAAGUGUUGAACAUGAAGCGAAAGAAGAAUUGUUGGAAAAUGAUGUUCCCAUUGAUCUUAGUAAGAAGUCUUCUUGUCCUAUAUGGAAGAACAAAGACACGCAAGGAUCGUCAGAAAAAACGAACUUUCUAAAGAGUAUUGAAAGUGAUUGGAUUGAAAAAUGGCAAAAAAUUGCAGGCGGUGUGCUUCCUCCGAUGUUUUCCUCCUAUCUUCAUCUUGCCGAAGAUCCAUCAAGAACCCACUGGUCAACUUUAAAUCAUUCCGAUAAACUAUCGUAUAAUUCCAAAAGUGCUUCAUUUCUGUCUCCUUUUCUCUUUCCCGUGGGGACAUUAAAUUCCUGUCCCUUGGUUUGUGAUCCUUUCGGAAAUACUUUUAUUUUGACAGUUCAUCCAGAUGAUGAACAUAUUGUUCCUGUGCCAAUUGGUAGUCCUUUCAGUAAUGGAAUAAAACUUACUCAAACCGAUCUCACUGAUACAAUACCUGUAAGUGACAAACUUUUGUCAAAAUACCUAGAAAAUAGUCCUGAUGAAAAGGGUGAUCAAAGCAGUAAGAACAGUACAUUUAAAACGUUUUCCAGAUCAUCUAAUAACGAUGAAGCUGAGUCAGAACAGGAAGAAAACACCUGUCCUGAAAAAAAUGACCAAAGAGACAAAUUGAAAAGUAAAGACAGUCAAUCGGGAAGUAAUGAAUCUAAAUAUACGAGUUUUUUAUAUUCUAAAGAGAAGUGCUCUGUUAUAAGAGAACUGUCUCAAGAACACUGUGACGUAGCCGAAGAUUUAAGAGUGUCUAAGGAUACGAACCGUCUCGAAAACCUUGCACGAGUAGAACCGCAGUUAAGAGAUUCUCAUUUCUUUGGAAACUUGAAGAAUUCUGUCAGUUGCUCUGUUCUUUCUGAAAAAAGUCCUGGGGUUGAUCAUUUUUGGUGUGAACGUCCCAGAACCAACUCUGAGAGUGCUGCAUUUCGUAAGCAUCCUAUCGAAAGUGUCGUUGAAGACGCAAAAGACAAGGAAGCAAACAGUAACGAAACAUUAAAAAGAAAAGUAGGUUCGUUUAAAUCGGAAAGCGAGUUUGAUCAUUUAAACCCAAAGAGGCAUAAAAUAUCCCUAAGAAAAUCCAAAUCGGAGGAUAUGAAUUUAAUAGACUCAAAGAGAAAUGAUCAAACUUUGUUUGCAGUAGACUUAGAACAUUACAAAUCAAAAGAUUAUUUUUCUUCCGCUCAAAACUUGGCUUCUGUUAGUAUUGACACGUCUGAAUGUCGAGGCCAAGAGAAAACGUUCUUUCAGCAUCUUCGUCACAUUUAUCCUCUGUCCUUUCCAUGGAACAUCUAUGGGUAUUAUAGUAAGCUCAUGCAGACAUGUCAAAAUUCGGAAGUAUUUACACAUCUGGCAGCUAGAAAUAUCAGUAUAACGUCAGAUGGCGCUGUUAAGACACCUUCCCCUAAAUCCUCUCCAAGCUUUGCCAAAACUACUUCUCAUGAAAACAGUGGAAUCGUAAAUGACAGCCAAAGCGACACUUGGAGUGCAAGUGCAAAAAAGCGAGUACCUCGGACACUAACUGGCAAGCACGUGCGAUAUGGAACUGGUGCAAGUCUUUCCACCUUACAAACUCUCCGUGAAAAAAUCCACGAGAGACAAAAAGCCAAGGAACAUACGGUGCUGAAUGAGAAAUUGUUUUCCUCAGAGAGUAACAAGAAGAAAUCAAACUCUAAGCAGCCAACAAAGCGUGACCGUAGUCCUAAAACUAAGACAAAAAUCCCAAAAAUAUGAACCAUGUCUAAACAGCUUUUUAAAUAUUUUGAUACCACUUUGCAUUCCAUUUCAACAUUGAACUAGCAAACAAUUUAUUAAGAGAUUGAUAAAAAAAUAUGUUGAUUUUCCUUUUUUUACAAGUAGUGUGUCAUAGAUUUUAUACAAUGAUAAAGAAAUUUAUACAGUGUUAGUAUUUUGUCACGUAACUUCUGUAAUUUAAUAGAUAUUUUUUUAGAUGUGUUAUUUCUACUCUAAAUGUAAACACUGGGCUUCCCUGAUGGUGUUACCUAAAGGAUAUUUCAUCUGAUGCAUCUGUAAAAUAAGCUUUGUUAUAGGUUUGUAGAGAACACAUGAAAUUCUUCCAACUUACGUAAGCUCUCCACUAUCUCAAGUCCUGAGUUAAAGUAAUCUGUAAUGGAAUUCCGGG
RNAcentral lists this unclassified non-coding RNA (3169 nucleotides) under Limulus polyphemus (Atlantic horseshoe crab). RNAcentral describes it as "uncharacterized LOC106461565, transcript variant X2". Lineage: Eukaryota; Metazoa; Arthropoda; Merostomata; Xiphosura; Limulidae. The record is from RNAcentral.